Molecule: non-coding RNA, 578 nt
Organism: Pimephales promelas (fathead minnow)
Lineage: Eukaryota; Metazoa; Chordata; Actinopteri; Cypriniformes; Leuciscidae
Source: RefSeq, a predicted model, not a curated record
CACCCAGCGCAGCGGUGUCCAGUGCCCCUACACCGAGCACCAUGCACUGUCUCUACACAAGAUCCUGGAGUUCCAGCCUCUGUCCCCAGAACCACUGCAGAUGUGACUAGUCCUGAGUCUUGCGGUAUUGUCUCGACUGCUCCUUUCGGGGGCAUCAUUGCAAGCUCCAUCUGCAGUUCGACUGCAUCGUUUGUGGCCGGAGACCUUGCCGCCAGAGGAUCACAGGUGGAUUGCCAGCAGGCUUUUCAAAACGGGGUCCAAGGGAAAACCAGAGCUUCGAGACGACCUACAGCUCUGGUAUUACCCACCACAGCCAGCACUUAUCUACAACCAGGCUCCAGCUCCAGACAGAUUUUUUAGUCAUGCUCUGUUGCUGUGGAUGCCGUACAAGCUUUGGAAGAUAAAGGCUGUCUGUCCCAAUUCUGCCUGCGGUCAGCAUCAGCUGACUGGAGGCGGUCUGCACAAAAGGGCACGGCAGGUUCUGGACAUCGAUAGGAUGUACAACAUGGUCACAGAAACCCUCAUCUGUACCAAGCCUCGCAUGUGUCCUGGAGUCAGACCAUCCUGCAACAGCUGGA